AGACAAAGUUAGAGAGGCGAGAUUGAGAUGACUUGGACAUGUGCAGAUGAGAGACCCAGGGUAUAUAAGGAGAGGGAUGCUGAGGAUGGAGCCACCUGGCAGGAGGAGAAUAGGGAGCCCAAAGAGGAGGUUUAAGGAUGUCCUGAGGGAGGACAUGCAGGUGGUUGUGUGACAGAGGAAGAUACAGAGGACAAGGUGAGAUGGAAAUGGUUGAUGUGUUGUGGUGAACCCA
Molecule: long non-coding RNA, 232 nt
Organism: Thalassophryne amazonica
Lineage: Eukaryota; Metazoa; Chordata; Actinopteri; Batrachoidiformes; Batrachoididae
Exons: 3
Source: RefSeq, a predicted model, not a curated record